This 1136-nucleotide long non-coding RNA is filed under the name Triticum aestivum (bread wheat). RNAcentral's name for it is "long non-coding RNA (TAES_LNC019878)". Lineage: Eukaryota; Viridiplantae; Streptophyta; Magnoliopsida; Poales; Poaceae. The record is from RNAcentral.
AAUAUAAAAGCGUUUAGAUCACUAAAAUAGUGACCUAACGCUCUUAUAUUAGUUUACAGAAGGAGUACUAGAGAUUAAUUAUAAACAUCAAUGGAAGGCUUGACUCAACUAGUAGUAGUAGUAGUACUAGUGAACCAACAAAUUUACCACGCUACAGGAAGCAAAAGCAGUUUAUCAAAUGAAACAUCUACUGCUUGGUGCUUGUGCACAAAUAACUGGAAGAGAAAAACCCAACCAAACACAACAUUUUAGAGAAUUUUCUUCACCAUUGAUUGCAUCCAUCACAAAAAUGUUACCACACGCACAAACAACCUGGGCCAACACAACAUUUUGCAAUUAGGCAAGAGCAAACCUACCACACUUGAUCAUCUACAGUCCAGAGGAUGGCUUGCCCUUUCAAGCAAAACUAAACCACAAGACAUGACACAUGACUCCCAGAUUAACCCAACCAGUAGUGUGGUCCGUGGGAACACUUCUUCAGCUCAUUACAGUACGUUCAUAUCCCUACGUGGUUCACAAAGUCCACCGCUGCUUCAGUAACAGUGAACGUCACCUUCCCAGACAAGAAAACCAGAAAUGCGCACGCCACAUUAGCGACAGUGUUGCGAAAGACCACCGUGGCAAAGUCCUUAUCUGACAUAUCCGUCUGCAGCUCCUGGACCUCCUUCUGCGUGCCCGCCACGGCAGUCUUCAAGCACCCCACUUGGGCACUGGUGGAGGUCUUCAGCUCCUGCAGCUCCUUCUUCGUGUCCGCCACCACUGUCUUCAAGGACUCCACCCCAGCCCUGGUGGAGGUGGCCUCAUCCACCACCAUCUGCUUGAGCGCUUCAAUCUCAAAACGGAUUUCGGCGGUUCGCUCUAUUCCCUGGAGCGUGAUUUCGAUAGCAGCUCCGCUGACCACCUUCUUUACCUCCACAAUAGAGACCUGCAAAUUCAGCAACAACCAUAAAAAACGAUCAUCUUCACAUAAUGAGUCUACUACAGCAAGGUCCAAUCAACUACCUCUUCCUAAAUACAAGUCUUUUUAGAGAUUUCAAAUGGACUACAACAUACGGAUGUAUAUAGACAUAUUUUAGAGUGUAGAUUCGCUCAUUUUGCUCAAAAGCCAUAUGAUCAACGAACAUACAAAACACGAG